UUUGAAUGGGAAGAAAAAAAGUAACUUUAAGAAUUUCCUGCCGAUUCCACGGCAUUUCAUUAUUUUCGAAAAAUACUGGUGAUGACAUCACCAGCAUGAUCCUGUCUCCAUCGCUCCCAACACAUCGGUCUGUGAAGUGAUUACAACGGCUAAUUUUCUAGGGAAUUCGUCAGCCCAUUUUUGUGCAAUGGAUUCCACCGAUUUUGCCAGGACCCAUGUUUUGGGAAUCUAACGAACGAAAUUCUCAUUUCUCUGCUACUGACAAAUCAGUAAGCUCCUAAAUAAUUUUUUUCUCCAUUCAAUUUUCGAAUUUCUUCUGCAGCUUUACGACCCAAGUUUGAGUGAUCGUUUUGAGUUUAGUUGGCUCUAUGUAUUGUUAACUGUUGUAAAAAUAGACCAGCACCUGAAUGCAAUAAAUCAGAAAUUACUGAUGUAUUGCUAUUUCUUGUGGUCCUUUGUUCGUAAUUGAUUAAACGAUGGAUCGAAAAACAGUUUAGGUUGUUCAAUUAAACAAAUGCAACAAAUUUUAACUUUUAAUUGCACUAGAUUUCCCUUGUUCCUUUGAAAUGUUAAGCAUUUUGGCCGUUUUUUAAAUAAUUGGAACAAAAGUGCCUGUGGCGCAAAAUAUUUGUUUAUCGGUUUCUUACGUUUAUUGAAAAAACCUCAAGUCCAAGAUAAAAACGAAAUCUAUUUUCUUGAUCCUCGUCAAAUUUUGAGUGGAAAACAUGCAUUUUUAACUAUAUCUAGAAUUUGUCAAAAAAUGAAAAAGUGGGAAGGCUAUACCCUUCUCACUUUUAUCAAAAUCUGCAAAAAUUCACAUCUCUUGGAAUUCGCUGAAAAUUAUACGGUAUAGUCGAAAUUGAAUGCAGAUUUCAGAAAACAUAUUAGUUUCCCCAUUAAUUAUAUAAUUUCUUAAUAAGACGCAAUUAAAGUGGUUAUGGGUAUGGCGCAUCUGUUUUUAGUCCCAAGUAAAAUCGAAAUAGAUUUUUGUGAUCCUCGUUGAUUUUUUUAUCUAAAUCAUACAUGUUCAUGGUAUGGACAAAUGCAAGAAGAUUGAACAAAAUGCUAAAGCGCAACAAAAGAAUAAAAGACUUCCAACUUCCGCCCACAAAGAUGUUUAAGGAAAAACCUAAAGUUGGAGCUUGAUACAUUUUUUUCUCAUGGAAAGUUUUGUAAAACAAAUGGCAAACUGGUUAAAUGAAACUUGAUUCCUUUUUUUUUAAUUCGUUAAUUAAUUUUUGUGUGUGUGUUUUUGUUCUGUUAUGGUGGAACGGUGGAGAGAAAAGAUGUUCGCGAAUAUGGGCAAUUCGAGAUCCAAGUAGAAACGGAGUGCAUAUUGUUUAAAGGCUUAUAGACUGGUAUUACUGACCAAUGUUGACAGCGUAGACAAGGUUACAGAAAGGUUGCAUUGAUCUUAAUGGCUGGUGUACAAUUACAGGACGAAAAAUGUCAUCAGCUGACGGAACAGCUGACAUGCCCAUAAAAAUUCUACGGAGUUAGUUAUUUCUCCCCUAGAUGUCUUGAAAAUAUACGGGAAAUGUCAGCUGUCCCGUCAGCUGUUCCAUUUCGCGUGGCUUCUGACUGAGGAUGGCUGCUGAUACGAACUUCUCUCUUCUUGAAAUUUUACCACCUAUGCCGUGUGUUUUGAGUUGCAUCUGGUGAAUUCAAUCAAUGCUGAGUUGUUCAAGGAGGAACAUGGCUUGGCUUUGCUAGCACGUUUUUCAUCUCCGUUAGUCUGAUAUACCCAUUUUGUUUCAAAGGUCUUUAUCACCUGAUGUACUGUUGUGGCUGUGGAAUCAUUCAGUGACUUGGUUCAAUCCAGGACUUGGUUUCUUCGAAAAUGGUUUACAGUUUUAAUUUGCAGAGAUCCUGGAGGCACCUGAUGUGUUUCAUUGGCGUUGGAGUCACUCGGUGACAGAAGAGAAUGCCUCUAAUGUUAUGUUGUCAGUGUAAAUAAAACAUAUUCAGUAUCA
Molecule: long non-coding RNA, 1973 nt
Organism: Daphnia magna
Lineage: Eukaryota; Metazoa; Arthropoda; Branchiopoda; Diplostraca; Daphniidae
Exons: 4
Source: RefSeq, a predicted model, not a curated record